AAAUUGAAGAGUUUGAUCAUGGCUCAGAUUGAACGCUGGCGGCAGGCCUAACACAUGCAAGUCGAGCGGUAGCACAGAGAGCUUGCUCUCGGGUGACGAGCGGCGGACGGGUGAGUAAUAUCUGGGAAACUGCCUGAUGGAGGGGGAUAACUACUGGAAACGGUAGCUAAUACCGCAUAACGUCGCAAGACCAAAGUGGGGGACCUUCGGGCCUCAUGCCAUCAGAUGUGCCCAGAUGGGAUUAGCUAGUAGGUGGGGUAAUGGCUCACCUAGGCGACGAUCCCUAGCUGGUCUGAGAGGAUGACCAGCCACACUGGAACUGAGACACGGUCCAGACUCCUACGGGAGGCAGCAGUGGGGAAUAUUGCACAAUGGGCGCAAGCCUGAUGCAGCCAUGCCGCGUGUAUGAAGAAGGCCUUCGGGUUGUAAAGUACUUUCAGCGAGGAGGAAG
This 451-nucleotide ribosomal RNA is filed under the name Klebsiella ornithinolytica. RNAcentral describes it as "bacterial SSU rRNA". It matches the Rfam family "Bacterial small subunit ribosomal RNA", at positions 1 to 450 of the family's 1533-position model. Lineage: Bacteria; Pseudomonadati; Pseudomonadota; Gammaproteobacteria; Enterobacterales; Enterobacteriaceae. The record is from RNAcentral.